UGGAGAUGAUUGUUAUGGAUUCCUUGGUAAAUUGCUUUUCUUUUUUUAAGUAUAGAUUUUUGUAUGAUAGUUAGUAAUUACAACAAAAUGCUUUUUUGUAUAACAUAUAAAAAGAAGAUUAUUUUUAUUUUGUUAGGGUGAUCGGAUUCAGGUCCUUAUUCGUCAUGACCAUUUACUGAAAUGGAAAGAGGUCAUUAAGGAGAAU
This 205-nucleotide long non-coding RNA is filed under the name Lathyrus oleraceus (garden pea). RNAcentral describes it as "Pisum sativum (pea) long non-coding RNA (PSAT_LNC030525)". Lineage: Eukaryota; Viridiplantae; Streptophyta; Magnoliopsida; Fabales; Fabaceae. The record is from RNAcentral.